CCUACGGGAGGCAGCAGUGGGGAAUAUUGCACAAUGGGGGGAACCCUGAUGCAGCGAAGCCGCGUGAGUGAAGAAGUAUUUCGGUACGUAAAGCUCUAUCAGCAGGGAAGAAAAAAGGACGGUACGUGAGUAAGAAGCCCCGGCUAACUACGUGCCAGCAGCUGCGGCAAUACGUAGGGGGCAAGUGUUAUCCGGAAUUACUGGGUGUAAAGGGAGCGUCGACGGCAAUGCAAGUCCGGAGUGGAAUGCGGGAGCUCAACGGCCGAACUGCUCUGGAAACUGUAUGGCUUGAGUUCAGGAGGGGUAAGCGGAAUUCCUGGUGUAGCGGUGAAAUGCGUAGAUAUCAGGAGGAACCCCGGUGGCGAAGGCGGCUUACUGGACUGUAACUGACGUUGAGGCUCGAAAGCGUGGGGAUCAAACAGGAUUAGAUACCCCAGUAGUC
This 442-nucleotide ribosomal RNA is filed under the name uncultured bacterium. RNAcentral's name for it is "partial 16S ribosomal RNA". It matches the Rfam family "Bacterial small subunit ribosomal RNA", at positions 338 to 795 of the family's 1533-position model. The record is from RNAcentral.